Anarrhichthys ocellatus (wolf-eel) is the source of this 698-nucleotide long non-coding RNA. RefSeq lists it as uncharacterized. The transcript is spliced from 2 exons. The record is from RefSeq and is a predicted model, not a curated record. NCBI's taxonomy places the organism in Eukaryota, Metazoa, Chordata, Actinopteri, Perciformes, Anarhichadidae.
AAGCAUUUUCAUUUGUAAAGUAACUAAAGCUGUCAAAUAAUUGUAAUUAAGUAAAAAAAAAAAGAAAAGUAGCCUAUUACUUCCUAUACUUGGACCAGAACCAGUACGCCGGCUGAUUCUCGCGAUGGUUGGCUUAUUAGCCGGCAGAGACACACACGGGAUGUUGGAAUGGGAUGAUGAGAGAGGAGACGCACACACGCCGAGCUGACACCGUUUACACCGAAAACGGGAGGACAAGGCGAGACGGCUGAGUCACUGCUGGUGAGGAGGAAGGUCUGGAGAGGGAACGACAGAGGAGGAGGAGGAGGUGGAGAAGGAGGGGGAGAAGAAGAAGAAGAAGAAGAAGAAGAAGGGAGGGAGACAGAGAGAUAAGCCACAACAGGAAAGAAACGACACAUACAGACACACACACUGUGUUUGUGUGUGUGUGUGUGAGAGGGAGACUGCGCGAACGAGAGGUUGAACGGGAAAGGAAGGAAGGGAGGGAGAGUGACGCGGAGGCUGGGAGAGCCUCUCCCCCCUCCUCCUCUCCUCCUCUCCCUCUCUUUCUCUCUUCUCCUCCUCUCCUCCCCUCCUCCCUCCCUCCCUCUCUCUCUCUGUGGAGCAGGCGUGUAGCGGCAUCAGACUCGGCGUGAAGGAACCAUGAGCGAUGUCACCAUCGUUAGAGAGGGAUGGCUCCAGAAACGGGGUAAGUACAU